This 445-nucleotide ribosomal RNA is filed under the name uncultured bacterium. RNAcentral's name for it is "partial 16S ribosomal RNA". It matches the Rfam family "Bacterial small subunit ribosomal RNA", at positions 354 to 796 of the family's 1533-position model. The record is from RNAcentral.
GUGAGGAAUAUUGGUCAAUGGGCGAGAGCCUGAACCAGCCAAGUCGCGUGAAGGAAGACGGCCCUACGGGUUGUAAACUUCUUUUGCAAUGGAAUAAAAAGAGUUACGUGUAAUUCAUUGUAUGUACAUUGCGAAUAAGGAUCGGCUAACUCCGUGCCAGCAGCCGCGGUAAUACGGAGGAUCCGAGCGUUAUCCGGAUUUAUUGGGUUUAAAGGGUGCGUAGGCGGAUUGGAAAGUCAGCGGUGAAAGUUUGCAGCUUAACUGUAAAAUUGCCAGUGAAACUGUCAGUCUUGAGUGCAAAUGAGGUAGGCGGAAUGUGUUGUGUAGCGGUGAAAUGCAUAGAUAUAACACAGAACACCAAUUGCGAAGGCAGCUUACUGGGAUGCAACUGACGCUGAGGCACGAAAGCGUGGGGAUCAAACAGGAUUAGAUACCCGAGUAGUCC